CAACUGCAGGGCAUUGGACGAGC
RNAcentral lists this microRNA (23 nucleotides) under Oreochromis niloticus (Nile tilapia). Its description in RNAcentral is "oni-miR-10778". Lineage: Eukaryota; Metazoa; Chordata; Actinopteri; Cichliformes; Cichlidae. The record is from miRBase by way of RNAcentral.